GUGCCAGCCGCCGCGGUAAUACGAAGGGUGCAAGCGUUACUCGGAAUUACUGGGCGUAAAGCGUGCGUAGGUGGUUCGUUAAGUCCGAUGUGAAAGCCCUGGGCUCAACCUGGGAAUGGCAUGGGAUACUGGCGGGCUAGAGUGCGGUAGAGGGUGGCGGAAUUCCCGGUGUAGCAGUGAAAUGCGUAGAUAUCGGGAGGAACAUCUGUGGCGAAGGCGGCCACCUGGACCAGCACUGACACUGAGGCACGAAAGCGUGGGGAGCAAACAGGAUUAGAUACCCUCGUAGUCC
This 292-nucleotide ribosomal RNA is filed under the name uncultured bacterium. RNAcentral's name for it is "partial 16S ribosomal RNA". It matches the Rfam family "Bacterial small subunit ribosomal RNA", at positions 505 to 796 of the family's 1533-position model. The record is from RNAcentral.